UCACCUCUCAAGCCUGGCUUGCUGUUGGAUCCUGGUUAUAGUCUAGCUAUAACCUAUCCUAAAGAUAAUGACGGCGUCUAUGAGGACUCCAGUACAUUGAGCAUUUUAUGCACGUACGAGGUAGAACUCUAGGCCCGGUCUUUAACCAUUUUUAUCAA
RNAcentral lists this unclassified non-coding RNA (158 nucleotides) under uncultured Cladophialophora. RNAcentral's name for it is "sequence contains ITS2". Lineage: Eukaryota; Fungi; Ascomycota; Eurotiomycetes; Chaetothyriales; Herpotrichiellaceae. The record is from RNAcentral.